AGGACGAACGCUGGCGGCGUGCCUAAUACAUGCAAGUCGAACGGUCUUUCUAUGGGAGCUUGCUUCCACUGAGAAGAUAGUGGCGAACGGGUGAGUAACACGUGGGUAACCUGCCCAUAAGAGGGGGGAUAACAUCCGGAAACGGGUGCUAAUACCGCAUAGUUUUCUUGGUCGCAUGAUCGGGAAAGGAAAGACGGCCUUUGUGCUGUCGCUUAUGGAUGGACCCGCGGCGUAUUAGUUAGUUGGUGAGGUAACGGCUCACCAAGACGAUGAUACGUAGCCGACCUGAGAGGGUGAUCGGCCACAUUGGGACUGAGACACGGCCCAAACUCCUACGGGAGGCAGCAGUAGGGAAUCUUCCGCAAUGGACGAAAGUCUGACGGAGCAACGCCGCGUGAGUGAAAGAAGGUUUUCGGAUCGUAAAACUCUGUUGUCAGAGAAGAACAAGUUGGAGAGUAACUGCUCCAGCCUUGACGGUAUCUGACCAGAAAGCCACGGCUAACUACGUGCCAGCCGCCGC
RNAcentral lists this ribosomal RNA (520 nucleotides) under uncultured bacterium. RNAcentral describes it as "bacterial SSU rRNA". It matches the Rfam family "Bacterial small subunit ribosomal RNA", at positions 26 to 518 of the family's 1533-position model. The record is from RNAcentral.